RNAcentral lists this ribosomal RNA (467 nucleotides) under uncultured bacterium. RNAcentral's name for it is "partial 16S ribosomal RNA". It matches the Rfam family "Bacterial small subunit ribosomal RNA", at positions 28 to 506 of the family's 1533-position model. The record is from RNAcentral.
GACGAACGCUGGCGGCGUGCUUAACACAUGCAAGUCGAACGGAAAGGCCCUGCUUUUGUGGGGUGCUCGAGUGGCGAACGGGUGAGUAACACGUGAGUAACCUGCCCUUGACUUUGGGAUAACUUCAGGAAACUGGGGCUAAUACCGGAUAGGAGCUCCUGCUGCAUGGUGGGGGUUGGAAAGUUUCGGCGGUUGGGGAUGGACUCGCGGCUUAUCAGCUUGUUGGUGGGGUAGUGGCUUACCAAGGCUUUGACGGGUAGCCGGCCUGAGAGGGUGACCGGCCACAUUGGGACUGAGAUACGGCCCAGACUCCUACGGGAGGCAGCAGUGGGGAAUAUUGCACAAUGGGCGGAAGCCUGAUGCAGCAACGCCGCGUGCGGGAUGACGGCCUUCGGGUGGUAAACCGCUUUCGCCUGUGACGAAGCGUGAGUGACGGGAAUGGGGAAAGAAACACCGGCUAACUACGU